AUGUCUUUCCCUAACCUGAACAACUGCAUUUACAUAUUCAGAGAUAUCUCAUCACCCACUGGGAUAUUUUUGUCUACAGUUUAUGCAUGCAUUUCCUUAGAGGCUGCUCUGCAUUUUACUGUGACAUCAGCCUUCCUGGGACUUGGCCAAAACCCUCAGGGCUUAGAGACACAUGUCCAGUGUCAAAAUCCUUGGUGUCAGAAGCAGCCUGAUCUGAUAAGCAUCUUAAAACUUCCAAUUAAAACUUGCUUGAUGCUGCAAGGCGCUGCCUCGCCUCCCACCCUGACAGCACAACAAACACAGGAGUCUGUGUCAAAGGCAAACCCUGGCUAUUGCUGCUCGGUGUCGUCAGGCUUCCCAGCAGCCAGGACUCGUGGGGACCUCCUGCUCCCACUGCUGCCUUUGCCAGCAGCCUCCCGGGGGUGCCAGCAGCAUCCCGGGGGUGCCAGCAGCAUCCCAGGGGUUCCAGCAGCAUCCCGGGGGUUCCAGCAGCAUCCCGGGGGUGCCAGCAGCAUCCCGGGGGUGCCAGCAGCAUCCUGGCAGUGCCAGCAGCAUCCCAGGAGUUCCAGCAGCAUCCCGGGGGUGCCAGCAGCAUCCCGGGGGUGCCAGCAGCAUCUCAGGGGUUCCAGCAGCCUCUCGGGGGUUCCAGCAGCCUCUCGGGGGUGCCAGCAGCAUCCCGGGGGUGCCAGCAGCAUCCCAAGUGUGCCAGCACCCAUGGACCCAUGGCUCCUGGCCAUCCACACCCUGUCCCUCUCUGCCAGCCCGCCUCUGGGCACUGGGACAUGGCUUUCCCUGCCAGCUGAGCUUCAAAGGAAACAAGUGAUAGAAUCUCAGCAGCCUGACGGUGCCACUGAGAUAGUGUUUGCCCUCAGGCGUUUAAAGCAAUGGCAAACACAAUCCCUUUCAUCCUCAGGGUUGCAUAAGUGUGUCCAGCUGGGCAAAGGACCUGUGGAUUUGGCUCAGGGUCCUUCCCAGCAGGGCCGUGCACUAAAAUUGCAGAAGCAGUUAUUCCAAGUCCAAGGGGCCAGGCCAGCAGGGAUGAGGAAGGAACCAGCGGAAGGUAUGGAAAAGCAGGGGCUGCACAGGGGCAGCCUGGGCUGA
This 1101-nucleotide long non-coding RNA is filed under the name Junco hyemalis (dark-eyed junco). RNAcentral's name for it is "lncRNA (ENSJHYG00000000976.1)". Lineage: Eukaryota; Metazoa; Chordata; Aves; Passeriformes; Passerellidae. The record is from RNAcentral.